UACGUAGGUGGCAAGCGUUAUCCGGAAUUAUUGGGCGUAAAGAGCGCGCAGGUGGUUAAUUAAGUCUGAUGUGAAAGCCCACGGCUUAACCGUGGAGGGUCAUUGGAAACUAGUUGACUUGAGUGCAGAAGAGGGAAGUGGAAUUCCAUGUGUAGCGGUGAAAUGCGUAGAGAUAUGGAGGAACACCAGUGGCGAAGGCGGCUUCCUGGUCUGCAACUGACACUGAGGCGCGAAAGCGUGGGGAGCAAACAGG
RNAcentral lists this ribosomal RNA (253 nucleotides) under uncultured bacterium. RNAcentral describes it as "partial 16S ribosomal RNA". It matches the Rfam family "Bacterial small subunit ribosomal RNA", at positions 524 to 776 of the family's 1533-position model. The record is from RNAcentral.